Long non-coding RNA from Diospyros lotus (date-plum), 519 nucleotides. RefSeq lists it as uncharacterized. The transcript has 3 exons. The record is from RefSeq and is a predicted model, not a curated record. NCBI's taxonomy places the organism in Eukaryota, Viridiplantae, Streptophyta, Magnoliopsida, Ericales, Ebenaceae.
CCCUCAAUCCAGAGGAUAAGAUCCACCUUCUCGCACAUAAAGCAGAUCUCGAGAGAAAAAUACAGCUGCAAUCGGAGACGACGAUGGAGCUGAAGAAGAUCGUUGUCUUAGCUUUGGUUCUGUUCAUAAUCUCGUCAUCGCAUUUGGAGGGCGUGGAAUCGGACGCCACUGACUGCUACGAUGCUUGCUCCACUGCCUGUGUUGGACGGGAAACGAGGGAGCAGCAGCGAUGCGAUCGCAAGUGCACCAUAAAAUGCGGUCCAGAUGCAGAUCUUCAAGCUACGGGGCACCAGAGGUGAAGAAGUUCCAGUCUCUGGACUGGAUGAAAACAUCAACAGCUUGAGGCUACCACAUGAAUAAAAUAUGUACUCAAACCCUAUCUGUUCUUUUUCCUUCUUUUUUUUCUCACUAUUUUUAAUGUUAAGAGACUAUAGGACAUAAGAGCCUGUUUGAGCCCUUUCACUAGUCGCUAGUCAUCUAUGAAUGCAUCUAUAAUAAUAUAUUUUAUGUUUAAUCCUA